UCAGUUAUCGUUUAUUUGAUAGUACCUUACUACAUGGAUACCUGUGGUAAUUCUAGAGCUAAUACAUGCUAAAAACCCCGACUUCGGGAGGGGUGUAUUUAUUAGAUAAAAAACCAACGCCCUUCGGGGCUCCUUGGUGAAUCAUAAUAACUUAACGAAUCGCAUGGCCUUGCGCCGGCGAUGGUUCAUUCAAAUUUCUGCCCUAUCAACUUUCGAUGGUAGGAUAGUGGCCUACCAUGGUGGCAACGGGUAACGGGGAAUUAGGGUUCGAUUCCGGAGAGGGAGCCUGAGAAACGGCUACCACAUCCAAGGAAGGCAGCAGGCGCGCAAAUUACCCAAUCCCGAUACGGGGAGGUAGUGACAAUAAAUACUGAUACGGGGCUCUUUCGGGUCUCGUAAUUGGAAUGAGAACAAUUUAAAUCCCUUAACGAGGAACAAUUGGAGGGCAAGUCUGGUGCCAGCAGCCGCGGUAAUUCCAGCUCCAAUAGCGUAUAUUAAAGUUGUUGCAGUUAAAAAGCUCGUAGUUGAACCUUGGGUCUGGCUGGCCGGUCCGCCUCACCGCGAGUACUGGUCCGGCUGGACCUUUCCUUCUGGGGGAACCCCAUGGCCUUCACUGGCUGUGGGGGGAACCAGGACUUUUACUGUGAAAAAAUUAGAGUGUUCAAAGCAGGCCUUUGCUCGAAUACAUUAGCAUGGAAUAAUAGAAUAGGACGUGUGGUUCUAUUUUUGUUGGUUUCUAGGACCGCCGUAAUGAUUAAUAGGGAUAGUCGGGGGCGUCAGUAUUCAGCUGUCAGAGGUGAAAUUCUUGGAUUUGCUGAAGACUAACUACUGCGAAAGCAUUCGCCAAGGAUGUUUUCAUUAAUCAGGGAACGAAAGUUAGGGGAUCGAAGACGAUCAGAUACCGUCGUAGUCUUAACCAUAAACUAUGCCGACUAGGGAUCGGACGGGAUUCUAUG
This 956-nucleotide ribosomal RNA is filed under the name Penicillium paxilli. Its description in RNAcentral is "SSU rRNA". It matches the Rfam family "Eukaryotic small subunit ribosomal RNA", at positions 106 to 1069 of the family's 1831-position model. The record is from RNAcentral. Lineage: Eukaryota; Fungi; Ascomycota; Eurotiomycetes; Eurotiales; Aspergillaceae.